This 541-nucleotide ribosomal RNA is filed under the name Mycetaspis sp. D3051A. RNAcentral's name for it is "partial 28S ribosomal RNA". Lineage: Eukaryota; Metazoa; Arthropoda; Insecta; Hemiptera; Diaspididae. The record is from RNAcentral.
AUCUGGGCGGCGGAAUUCAGGAUGGCUGGCGCGUCUUCGCGGCGCGUCGGUCGUUUGAUAUUUCCGUCGCCGAUCACCCGCAGACGUCGCGACCUGUUCGCGGUCGGUCCCUGCUCGGAGGAGCCGUGUUCGAGUUCGUUGUGUGCGCGUUUCGGCGUGCCACACGGCGAAGACGCGGAUCUCUGGCUGGCCGUCGGACAGUAUGCUUAACGGUGUCCGGUGUCGCCAUGCGCGCGCACCGGUACCGGUCAGCGACGAAUUCUUCGGGCCUCUUUCCGACCCGUCUUGAAACACGGACCAAGGAGUCUAACAUGCGCGCGAGUCGCGGGGUGUCGAGCGUACCUCGGUGCGUUCGUUACGUUGCGAAACCCGUACAUGUCGAAGGCGUAAUGAAAGUAAAUGGGGAAGAUGGUGUUCCGAGUACACGUUCCGCGAUCGUCGGUAUCGCGGCCGGACACCCGCAUUCCCGGGGCGUCUCAACGGCCCGUCGCUGAUGCGGACAGUCGUCUCUCGGGGCGGCUGUCGGUCGGCGACGAACCGA